GACUCAUUGGUUCAACGGUAAAGCGCUUGUCAUGGAGCCAGAGGGUCUUGGGUUUGAUCCCCGAUUGGGUCG
RNAcentral lists this transfer RNA (72 nucleotides) under Schistosoma japonicum. RNAcentral's name for it is "tRNA-OTHER". The record is from RNAcentral. Lineage: Eukaryota; Metazoa; Platyhelminthes; Trematoda; Strigeidida; Schistosomatidae.